RNAcentral lists this ribosomal RNA (253 nucleotides) under uncultured bacterium. RNAcentral describes it as "partial 16S ribosomal RNA". It matches the Rfam family "Bacterial small subunit ribosomal RNA", at positions 524 to 776 of the family's 1533-position model. The record is from RNAcentral.
UACGGAGGGUGCAAGCGUUAUCCGGAUUCACUGGGUUUAAAGGGUGCGUAGGCGGGUUAUUAAGUCAGUGGUGAAAGCCUGCAGCUUAACUGCAGAAUUGCCAUUGAUACUGAUGAUCUUGAGUAUGAUUGAGGUGGGCGGAAUGUGUCAUGUAGCGGUGAAAUGCUUAGAUAUGACACAGAACACCGAUUGCGAAGGCAGCUCACUAAGCCAUAACUGACGCUGAUGCACGAAAGCGUGGGGAGCAAACAGG